CCUACGGGCGGCAGCAGUGGGGAAUAUUGGACAAUGGGGGCAACCCUGAUCCAGCCAUGCCGCGUGUGUGAAGAAGGCCCUCGGGUUGUAAAGCACUUUCAGUGAGGAAGAACGCCUGGUGGUUAAUACCCAUCAGGAAAGACAUCACUCACAGAAGAAGCACCGGCUAACUCCGUGCCAGCAGCCGCGGUAAUACGGAGGGUGCGAGCGUUAAUCGGAAUUACUGGGCGUAAAGCGCGCGUAGGUGGCUUGAUAAGCCGGUUGUGAAAGCCCCGGGCUCAACCUGGGAACGGCAUCCGGAACUGUCAAGCUAGAGUGCAGGAGAGGAAGGUGGAAUUCCCGGUGUAGCGGUGAAAUGCGUAGAGAUCGCGAGGAAUACCAGUGGCGAAGGCGGCCUUCUGGACUGACACUGACGCUGAGGUGCGAAAGCGUGGGUAGCAAACAGGAUUAGAUACCCGGGUAGUC
RNAcentral lists this ribosomal RNA (465 nucleotides) under Vreelandella stevensii. Its description in RNAcentral is "partial 16S ribosomal RNA". It matches the Rfam family "Bacterial small subunit ribosomal RNA", at positions 338 to 795 of the family's 1533-position model. The record is from RNAcentral. Lineage: Bacteria; Pseudomonadati; Pseudomonadota; Gammaproteobacteria; Oceanospirillales; Halomonadaceae.